CCUACGGGAGGCAGCAGUGGGGAAUAUUGGGCAAUGGAGGCAACUCUGACCCAGCAACGCCGCGUGAAGGAAGAAGGCUUUCGGGUUGUAAACUUCUUUUGUCAGGGACGAAGCAAGUGACGGUACCUGACGAAUAAGCCACGGCUAACUACGUGCCAGCAGCCGCGGUAAUACGUAGGUGGCAAGCGUUAUCCGGAUUUAUUGGGUGUAAAGGGCGUGUAGGCGGGAAUGCAAGUCAGAUGUGAAAACUAUGGGCUCAACCCAUAGCCUGCAUUUGAAACUGUAUUUCUUGAGUGCUGGAGAGGCAAUCGGAAUUCCGUGUGUAGCGGUGAAAUGCGUAGAUAUACGGAGGAACACCAGUGGCGAAGGCGGAUUGCUGGACAGUAACUGACGCUGAGGCGCGAAAGCGUGGGGAGCAAACAGGAUUAGAUACCCUAGUAGUC
RNAcentral lists this ribosomal RNA (443 nucleotides) under uncultured bacterium. Its description in RNAcentral is "partial 16S ribosomal RNA". It matches the Rfam family "Bacterial small subunit ribosomal RNA", at positions 338 to 795 of the family's 1533-position model. The record is from RNAcentral.